UUCAUCUCCCAGCUACUUGUGGAGGAUCUUUUACAGGAGUAUUUACCCUCUGAAAUGAAGAAAUGGCUAAAUGACCAGACAGUAGGAUGAGAGAGGUUGAUAGUUGGUGGCAAGAAAGUCUAGUUGAGUAUAUUUGGACUCCAGCUGCAUAUUAUGAAGCACAGACCACACCGAUGAGCUUUUUUUAAAUAAAAUGUAUACCUUAGUGGAUGAGAGACCCCCAAAGAAGCUCUGGAAAGUAGACACCAGAAGGUGAUCUUGGGAGCCGUCUCAGCAAUUGCCUCAGAAGCAACCCUGGUGUGGAUUUAAGUGGCUGCACACAAUCAAGUGCUGAAGGAGUUGAGCUUUAUGGUGGAAAUGAGCAUGGAAGACGUUUGCCAGCAAGCACAAUUGAAAGGUGCUGAUGAUGUUACUUAAAGGUGGAAUUGAUGAAGCAUGUCGGAUAAAAAUAUGGAAAAAGCAUCCUUGCUCAUGGCUGAGGAGGAAGACACUGACAUGAUGGAUGUCAAUGCUUUAAGGUUAAGGAUUAAAAGGAAAAGUCUGAAAUAGAAGCAGCCUUAGAGAAGAGCGUCUAGAAAAACCUGGGCCUGUAAGGAGUAUCCAUAAAGAGACAAGGUUUCAGGUAACUGGAGCAUAGAAUCAGAAAGAAGUUGUACAAUUAGGUAAGCCAAUUUGUAUUUUCUAUUACUUAAAAUAAAGUUGUGUAUUUUUACCACAUUCGUAUUUGUAGGUCUGUCCUGUGCAGGCACCUGUGAUGUCUGAAUGAA
Molecule: long non-coding RNA, 767 nt
Organism: Erpetoichthys calabaricus (reedfish)
Lineage: Eukaryota; Metazoa; Chordata; Cladistia; Polypteriformes; Polypteridae
Exons: 4
Source: RefSeq, a predicted model, not a curated record